UACGUAGGGUGCGAGCGUUAAUCGGAAUUACUGGGCGUAAAGUGUGCGCAGGCGGCGUCGCAAGUCGAGUGUGAAAUCCCCGAGCUUAACUUGGGAAUUGCGCUCGAAACUACGGUGCUCGAGUAUGGCAGAGGAAGGUGGAAUUCCACGUGUAGCGGUGAAAUGCGUAGAGAUGUGGAGGAACACCGAUGGCGAAGGCAGCCUUCUGGGCCAAUACUGACGCUCAUGCACGAAAGCGUGGGGAGCAAACAGG
RNAcentral lists this ribosomal RNA (253 nucleotides) under uncultured bacterium. Its description in RNAcentral is "partial 16S ribosomal RNA". It matches the Rfam family "Bacterial small subunit ribosomal RNA", at positions 524 to 776 of the family's 1533-position model. The record is from RNAcentral.